AAAACUUUCAACAACGGAUCUCUUGGCUCUGGCAUCGAUGAAGAACGCAGCGAAAUGCGAUAAGUAAUGUGAAUUGCAGAAUCUAGUGAAUCAUCGAAUCUUUGAACGCACAUUGCGCCCCUUGGUAUUCCGAGGGGCAUGCCUGUUCGAGCGU
Molecule: ribosomal RNA, 154 nt
Filed under: Phyllactinia fraxini
Lineage: Eukaryota; Fungi; Ascomycota; Leotiomycetes; Helotiales; Erysiphaceae
Description: 5.8S ribosomal RNA
Rfam family: 5.8S ribosomal RNA
About the family: 5.8S ribosomal RNA (5.8S rRNA) is a component of the large subunit of the eukaryotic ribosome. It is transcribed by RNA polymerase I as part of the 45S precursor that also contains 18S and 28S rRNA.
Source: RNAcentral